Molecule: ribosomal RNA, 575 nt
Filed under: uncultured bacterium
Lineage: Bacteria
Description: partial 16S ribosomal RNA
Rfam family: Bacterial small subunit ribosomal RNA
Source: RNAcentral
UGGGGAAUUUUGGACAAUGGGCGAAAGCCUGAUCCAGCAAUGCCGCGUGUGUGAAGAAGGCCUUCGGGUUGUAAAGCACUUUUGUCCGGAAAGAAAUCCUUGGCUCUAAUACAGUCGGGGGAUGACGGUACCGGAAGAAUAAGCACCGGCUAACUACGUGCCAGCAGCCGCGGUAAUACGUAGGGUGCAAGCGUUAAUCGGAAUUACUGGGCGUAAAGCGUGCGCAGGCGGUUUGCUAAGACCGAUGUGAAAUCCCCGGGCUCAACCUGGGAACUGCAUUGGUGACUGGGCAGGCUAGAGUAUGGCAGAGGGGGGUAGAAUUCCACGUGUAGCAGUGAAAUGCGUAGAGAUGUGGAGGAAUACCGAUGGCGAAGGCAGCCCCCUGGGCCAAUACUGACGCUCAUGCACGAAAGCGUGGGGGAGCAAACAGGAUUAGAUACUCUGGUAGGUCCACGCCCUAAACGAUGUCAACUAGUUGUUGGGGAUUCAUUUCCUUAGUAACGUAGCUAACGCGUGAAGUUGACCGCCUGGGGAGUACGGUCGCAAGAUUAAAACUCAAAGGAAUUGACGGGGUC